CCCGCCCCUAGAAAUGUUGCAGAUGUUGGCGCUGUGUCACACCUGCCUCAGUAAGCUGCAGAGAGGAGAGACUGUGUGGAGGCUGUAUUCGGACUGUACACAUCUGAGUGAUAAUAGCCUACCAUU
Mastomys coucha (southern multimammate mouse) is the source of this 126-nucleotide small nucleolar RNA. RefSeq annotates it as small nucleolar RNA SNORA17. The record is from RefSeq and is a predicted model, not a curated record. NCBI's taxonomy places the organism in Eukaryota, Metazoa, Chordata, Mammalia, Rodentia, Muridae. The transcript has a single exon.